Molecule: ribosomal RNA, 469 nt
Filed under: uncultured bacterium
Lineage: Bacteria
Description: partial 16S ribosomal RNA
Rfam family: Bacterial small subunit ribosomal RNA
Source: RNAcentral
GACGAACGCUGGCGGCGUGCUUAACACAUGCAAGUCGAACGGAAAGGCCCUGCUUGCAGGGUGCUCGAGUGGCGAACGGGUGAGUAACACGUGGGUGAUCUGCCCCUUACUUUGGGAUAAGCCUGGGAAACUGGGUCUAAUACUGGAUAGGACCAUGCUGUAGGUGGUGUGGUGGAAAGAUUAGUUUCGGUAAGGGAUGAGCUCGCGGCCUAUCAGCUUGUUGGUGGGGUAAUGGCCUACCAAGGCGUCGACGGGUAGCCGGCCUGAGAGGGUGGACGGCCACAUUGGGACUGAGAUACGGCCCAGACUCCUACGGGAGGCAGCAGUGGGGAAUAUUGCACAAUGGGCGCAAGCCUGAUGCAGCGACGCCGCGUGGGGGAUGACGGCCUUCGGGUUGUAAACUCCUUUCAGCCAUGACGAAGCCCUUGUGGUGACGGUAGUGGUGGAAGAAGCACCGGCUAACUACGUG